RNAcentral lists this ribosomal RNA (697 nucleotides) under uncultured bacterium. RNAcentral's name for it is "bacterial SSU rRNA". It matches the Rfam family "Bacterial small subunit ribosomal RNA", at positions 32 to 715 of the family's 1533-position model. The record is from RNAcentral.
AACGCUAGCUACAGGCUUAACACAUGCAAGUCGAGGGGCAGCAUUUUAGUUUGCUUGCAAACUGAAGAUGGCGACCGGCGCACGGGUGAGUAACACGUAUCCAACCUGCCGAUAACUCCGGAAUAGCCUUUCGAAAGAAAGAUUAAUACCGGAUGGCAUACGAAUAUCGCAUGAUAUUUUUAUUAAAGAAUUUCGGUUAUCGAUGGGGAUGCGUUCCAUUAGUUUGUUGGCGGGGUAACGGCCCACCAAGACAACGAUGGAUAGGGGUUCUGAGAGGAAGGUCCCCCACAUUGGGAACUGAGACACGGUCCAAACUCCUACCGGAGGCAGCAGUGAGGAAUAUUGGGUCAAUGGGCGAGAGCCUGAACCACCCAAGUAGCGUGAAGGAUGAAGGCUCUAUGGGUCGUAAACUUCUUUUAUAUGGGAAUAAAGUAUUCCACGUGUGGAAUUUGUAUGUACCAUAUGACAUAAGGAUCGGCUAACUCCGUGCCAGCAGCCGCGGUAAUACGGAGGAUCCGAGCGUUAUCCGGAUUUAUUGGGUUUAAAGGGAGCGUAGGUGGAUUGUUAAGUCAGUUGUGAAAGUUUGCGGCUCAACCGUAAAAUUGCAGUUGAAACUGGCAGUCUUGAGUACAGUAGAGGUGGGCGGAAUUCGUGGUGUAGCGGUGAAAUGCUUAGAUAUCACGAAGAACUCCGAUUG